RNAcentral lists this ribosomal RNA (500 nucleotides) under uncultured cyanobacterium. Its description in RNAcentral is "bacterial SSU rRNA". It matches the Rfam family "Bacterial small subunit ribosomal RNA", at positions 99 to 634 of the family's 1533-position model. The record is from RNAcentral. Lineage: Bacteria; Bacillati; Cyanobacteriota.
CGUACGGGUGAGUAACGCGUGAGGAUCUGCCCUUAGGACGGGGACAACAGCUGGAAACGGCUGCUAAUACCCGAUGUGCCGAGAGGUGAAACUAUUUGGCCUGAGGAUGAGCUCGCGUCUGAUUAGCUAGUUGGAGUGGUAACGGCACACCAAGGCGACGAUCAGUAGCUGGUCUGAGAGGAUGAUCAGCCACACUGGGACUGAGACACGGCCCAGACUCCUACGGGAGGCAGCAGUGGGGAAUUUUCCGCAAUGGGCGAAAGCCUGACGGAGCAAGACCGCGUGCGGGAGGAAGGUCUAUUGAUUGUAAACCGCUUUUGAUAGGGAAGAAGAUCUGACGGUACCUAUCGAAUCAGCAUCGGCUAACUCCGUGCCAGCAGCCGCGGUAAUACGGGGGAUGCAAGCGUUAUCCGGAAUUAUUGGGCGUAAAGCGUCCGUAGGUGGUUUUAAAAGUCUGUUGUCAAAUCGCGAGGCUUAACCUCGUACAGGCAGUGGAAACU